Molecule: ribosomal RNA, 468 nt
Filed under: uncultured bacterium
Lineage: Bacteria
Description: partial 16S ribosomal RNA
Rfam family: Bacterial small subunit ribosomal RNA
Source: RNAcentral
GACGAACGCUGGCGGCGUGCUUAACACAUGCAAGUCGAACGGAAAGGCCCUGCUUUUGUGGGGUGCUCGAGUGGCGAACGGGUGAGUAACACGUGAGUAACCUGCCCUUGACUUUGGGAUAACUUCAGGAAACUGGGGCUAAUACCGGAUAGGAGCUCCUGCUGCAUGGUGGGGGUUGGAAAGUUUCGGCGGUUGGGGAUGGACUCGCGGCUUAUCAGCUUGUUGGUGGGGUAGUGGCUUACCAAGGCUUUGACGGAUAGCCGGCCUGAGAGGGUGACCGGCCACAUUGGGACUGAGAGACGGCCCAGACUCCUACGGGAGGCAGCAGUGGGGAAUAUUGCACAAUGGGCGGAAGCCUGAUGCAGCAACGCCGCGUGCGGGAUGACGGCCUUCGGGUGGUAAACCGCUUUCGCCUGUGACGAAGCGUGAGUGACGGUAAUGGGUAAAGAAGCACCGGCUAACUACGUG